AUAACAACCAACAAAUUUUGACAGCUUUACUGUCUAGGGAUAUUUAACCCCUCCAUUUGCUCAACAUUUCCAGUUAGCAUUUCAAACUCAACAUUAUCCUCGGUGAUAGCCGAAAUGUUUUCAGCCAAAAGUUCCAUGGACUUCCUUAGAGAAACACGAUGAGAGCCAUGGUUUUUGAAACACACGUUACUACCAUGGAGGCUCUUAUUUUGCUUGCUAUUUUUCCCUCUAAUUCUCAUCCCCUUGCCCGAAUCAAAAUUUCCUAGUGGAGCCGAGGAACUACUUGUGGGCAAAUGUUCUUUAUUUUCUAAAAAUACUACUGCUGAAUACCUGCCGGAAUCCAAGCUUCCUACGUCCACCACAACCUCGCCUCUGUCCAACUCCUUUGAAGGUGAAUUAGAUCGGUGUAUUUCGGGCUCCUUUGCAGCUUGUAAAUCCUCUUCAACGAUGACCUGCUCAAAACUGAACUCCACCACUGCAAGGGUUCGACCACUGCUUCCAGCUCCAACAGUACCCCGCUGAACUUUUGUCUGGCCCUAACGGUCCACAAGUGUCCAGGCCUGUAUAGGCGAAACCACCUCAAGGCCCAAACCAUUGAUAACUGGGUAGUGCAGGGAACUUAAUCCAUGCCAUCACUACACUUGGGUACGCCUGUGUAGAAUCGAAAGCCAUCGUCCAUGGUUGAACAGUGAAAUAUUGGCCAAAGAUAGUCCACAGACCUUCAGAGAGUACCUUUUCAUAGUCCAGCUUAUUUUGGAAUUUGACUAAAAAAUAGCCAUUCUCAAUAUCCAUCAUAUGGAUAGUUGCUAUGGGUCUCCACAUGCUAUAAAUUUUGUUCUGCAAAAUCGAAAAAUCAAUGUUACGGCCUAAGAGUUUUAAGAUCACGGUGUUGUCCAUACCCUGAAGGAGGAUUUGAUGAAUCCGAUCUGAAAACAUAAUGGACGACAUCCCAUUCACCAUAGAUCUCUGAAUGUCCCCUUCCAAAAUAUCAAUAGCUUCCUUUUCUUCCGAACCAUUGAAGCCUUUCUUUGAGGAAUGGCCGACCAGCCUUUCUUUCCAAGAAGUAGGCAGAUCAGAGGACAACUCGAUCACCAUGUCAUUGCUCGUCUCUUCCUCUUUGUCUCUAAAUCUAACCUUCUUGGGAAUCAUCUCCUCUAAGAUGGAAUUUCCAUGAUCAGUAUUUUCACAGAGAGAA
Long non-coding RNA from Gossypium arboreum, 1195 nucleotides. RefSeq lists it as uncharacterized. The record is from RefSeq and is a predicted model, not a curated record. The transcript has 2 exons. Lineage: Eukaryota; Viridiplantae; Streptophyta; Magnoliopsida; Malvales; Malvaceae.